Molecule: unclassified non-coding RNA, 376 nt
Filed under: Hevea brasiliensis (rubber tree)
Lineage: Eukaryota; Viridiplantae; Streptophyta; Magnoliopsida; Malpighiales; Euphorbiaceae
Source: RNAcentral
GACAAUUUAGGACUCAUCCCACACUUGUUGUCUAAUGGAUAACCGCAAAGAGAAGGAUUUCCCUCGUAGCUGCUUUUGUUGAAAGUUCCAAAUUGAGCUUUAAAAUCAGGUACUGCACCAGAUAAGUUGUUGUAUGCAACACUGAAUACUGCCAAAGAAUUCAGCUCAAUUAGACCAACAGGAAUGCUCCCAUUCAAUCUGUUGCAGGAAAGGUCUAAACUCUCAAUUUCCUGUAGAUUGGAGAAGGUAUUUGGUAUUCUUCCAAUGAGAUGAUUGUGAGACAGAUUCAAUGUAUGUAUAUUGCUCAUGUUCCCUAUCUCAAUGGGAAUUUCACCAGUUAAUCUGUUACUUGAGAGAUCAAUACCCGACAUAUAUU